UAUCAUUAAGUGAAUACAUAGCUUAAUGAGGGGAACUCAGGGAACUGAAACAUCUAAGUACCUGAAGGAAGAGAAAGAAAUUCGAUUCCGUAAGUAGCGGCGAGCGAACGCGGAUUAGCCCAAACCAAUAAAGUUUUCUUUAUUGGGGUUGCGGACAUAUCAUAACGAAGAGGUAUCGUAAUUGAAGAGGUUUGGAAAGACCCACCACAGAAGGUAAUAGUCCUGUAUGUUAAACGAGAAGACUUCAGAUAUGAUCCAGAGUACCACGGGACACGUGAAACCCUGUGGGAAGCAGGAGGGACCACCCUCCAAGGCUAAAUACUACCUAGUGACCGAUAGCGUAUAGUACCGUGAGGGAAAGGUGAAAAGAACCCCGGGAGGGGAGUGAAAUAGAACCUGAAACCCUGCACUUACAAGCUGUGGAAGCACAUUUCUUGUGUGACCGCGUACUUUUUGUAGAACGGGCCAACGAGUUACGUUAAGUAGCAAGGUUAAGCACUUAAGGUGCGGAGCCGUAGCGAAAGCGAGUUUUAACUGAGCGUUCAGUUACUUGACGUAGACCCGAAACCGGGCGACCUACCCAUGAGCAGGAUGAAGCGAAAGUAAAAUUUCGUGGAGGUCCGAACCCACGAGCGUUGAAAAGCUCGGGGAUGACUUGUGGGUAGCGGUGAAAUUCCAAUCGAGCCCGGAGAUAGCUGGUUCUCCCCGAAAUAGCUUUAGGGCUAGCCUCAAGGUGAGAGAUACGGAGGUAGAGCACUGAAUGUCCUAGGGGGUAUUGCACCUACCGAAGACUAUCAAACUCCGAAUGCCGUCAUCUUAUACUUGGGAGUCAGACUGUGGGUGAUAAGAUUCAUAGUCGAAAGGGCAACAGCCCAGAUCGUCAGCUAAGGUCCCUAAAUGUAAGUUAAGUGGUAAAGGAUGUGGGAUUGCACAGACAACCAGGAUGUUGGCUUAGAAGCAGCCACUCAUUCAAAGAGUGCGUAAUAGCUCACUGGUCGAGUGAUCCUGCGCCGAAGAUUUCCGGGGCUAAAACUUACUACCGAAGCUACGGCAUCAGUAAUGAUGGGUAGGGGAGCUUCCCAUACGGGUUGAAGCAUGACCGUAAGGACAUGUGGACAGUAUGGGAGUGAGAAUGUUGGCAUGAGUAGCGAGAUGUGGGUGAGAAUCCCACAGGCCGUAAACCCAAGGUUUCCAGGGGAAGGUUCGUCCGCCCUGGGUUAGUCGGGACCUAAGCUGAGGCCGAAAGGCGUAGGUGAUGGACAACAGGUUGAUAUUCCUGUACUACCGAUAACCGUUUGAGAGAAGGGAUGACACAGUAGGAUAAGCUAAGCACACUGUUGGUUAUGUGUGCCCAAGCAUUGAGGCAGUCAAAGUAGGCAAAUCCGCUUUGAUAAUGCUGGGAUGUGAUGGGGAGCGAAAUUUAGUAGCGAAGUAGCUGAUUUCACACUGUCAAGAAAAGUCUCUAUCGAGGUUAAAGGUACCCGUACCGCAAACCGACACAGGUGGGUGAGGAGAGUAUCCUAAGGCCAGCGAGAGAACUGUUGUUAAGGAACUCGGCAAAAUGACCCCGUAACUUAGGGAUAAGGGGUGCCACCAUCAGGUGGCCGCAGAGAAUAGGCCCAAGCGACUGUUUACCAAAAACAUAGGUUUCUGCUAAGUCGCAAGACGAUGUAUAGGAGCUGACGCCUGCCCGGUGCUGGAAGGUUAAGGGGAUCUGUUAGAGCAAUCGAAGCAGUGAACUUAAGCCCCAGUAAACGGCGGCCGUAACUAUAACGGUCCUAAGGUAGCGAAAUUCCUUGUCGGGUAAGUUCCGACCCGCACGAAAGGCGUAACGAUUUGGGCACUGUCUCAACAACAGACUCGGUGAAAUUGUAAUUCCGGUGAAGAUGCCGGAUACCUGCGACAGGACGGAAAGACCCCAUGGAGCUUUACUGUAGCUUGACAUUGGGUCUUGGUACUACAUGUACAGGAUAGGUGGGAGGCUUUGAAACCAGGACGCCAGUUUUGGCGGAGCCAUCCUUGGGAUACCACCCUUGUAGUACUGGGACUCUAACCAUAGGCCAUGAAUCUGGUCUUGGGACACUGUCAGGGGGCAGUUUGACUGGGGCGGUCGCCUCCCAAAAGGUAACGGAGGCGCUCAAAGGUUCUCUCAGUACGGUCGGAAAUCGUACGUAGAGUGUAAAGGCAAAAGAGAGCUUGAUUGCAAGACAUACAGGUCGAGCAAGGAUGAAAAUCGGACUUAGUGAUCCGGUGGUUCUGCGUGGAAGGGCCAUCGCUCAACGGAUAAAAGCUACCCUGGGGAUAACAGGCUUAUCUCCCCCAAGAGUCCACAUCGACGGGGAGGUUUGGCACCUCGAUGUCGGCUCAUCACAUCCUGGGGCUGUAGUAGGUCCCAAGGGUUGGGCUGUUCGCCCAUUAAAGUGGUACGCGAGCUGGGUUCAGAACGUCGUGAGACAGUUCGGUCCCUAUCCGUCGCAGGCGUAGGAAAUUUGAGAAGACCUGUCCUUAGUACGAGAGGACCGGGAUGGACGUACCUCUGGUGUACCAGUUGUUCUGCCAAGGGCAUGGCUGGGUAGCUAUGUACGGAAUGGAUAAGCGCUGAAAGCAUCUAAGCGCGAAGCCAACUUCAAGAUAAGAUUUCCCACCGCAAGGGUAAGACCCCAGAAAGACUAUCUGGUUGAUAGGUCGAAGGUGUAAGUGCAGCAAUGUAUUUAGCUUAUCGAUACUAAUAGGUCGAGGACUUGACCAA
Molecule: ribosomal RNA, 2749 nt
Filed under: Clostridioides difficile P45
Lineage: Bacteria; Bacillati; Bacillota; Clostridia; Peptostreptococcales; Peptostreptococcaceae
Description: bacterial LSU rRNA
Rfam family: Bacterial large subunit ribosomal RNA
Source: RNAcentral